This 496-nucleotide ribosomal RNA is filed under the name uncultured bacterium. RNAcentral describes it as "partial 16S ribosomal RNA". It matches the Rfam family "Bacterial small subunit ribosomal RNA", at positions 28 to 506 of the family's 1533-position model. The record is from RNAcentral.
GAUGAACGCUGGCGGCGUGCCUAAUACAUGCAAGUCGAGCGAACGGACGAGAAGCUUGCUUCUCUGAUGUUAGCGGCGGACGGGUGAGUAACACGUGGAUAACCUACCUAUAAGACUGGGAUAACUUCGGGAAACCGGAGCUAAUACCGGAUAAUAUUUUGAACCGCAUGGUUCGAAAGUGAAAGACGGUCUUGCUGUCACUUAUAGAUGGAUCCGCGCUGCAUUAGCUAGUUGGUAAGGUAACGGCUUACCAAGGCAACGAUGCAUAGCCGACCUGAGAGGGUGAUCGGCCACACUGGAACUGAGACACGGUCCAGACUCCUACGGGAGGCAGCAGUAGGGAAUCUUCCGCAAUGGGCGAAAGCCUGACGGAGCAACGCCGCGUGAGUGAUGAAGGUCUUCGGAUCGUAAAACUCUGUUAUUAGGGAAGAACAUAUGUGUAAGUAACUGUGCACAUCUUGACGGUACCUAAUCAGAAAGCCACGGCUAACUACGU